GCUUGAUUCCCCGGCCAUCCUUAUCAAAGACCUUCCAGGUGAAUAGGCAGCCGUCCUCAGCAGUGGUCAGCAGGAAUUGAUCAUCAAAGAUUCCAUUCGUACACAGCACCAUCUGUGCCACCAGAAAUCAGUUUGCUAUCAUCUGCAUUCCACACAACUGAGCGAAUCUGCAGGAGACAAAGAUACCCAGUGAAGAGGAACCUUCAAAAACAGCCCAGAGAGAGUGGACUUCUGGAAUGGAAGGCCAGUAGACAAGAUUUGACUCUGGAGGGGAUGUCUGGGUCAACAGGUAUUUGGAGUCUGGAGAAAAAGCCAUGCUAAUAAAUUUCUGAACUUGGAAGUCAAAAUUAUUAAGAACUCUGCGCUUCCGGCAAGGGAUGGAUGACAGUUCAUAAAUGGUAAUGACAGGUUUUUCCUGCACAGUCUCAGAGAUAGCGAGGUACCGCCGAUUGGGGCUGAUGGACAAGGCCAACAUGGCCUGACUCCUGUCUGAGCCUGCAAACAGAGGAAAAAGGAAAUGAGGG
Molecule: long non-coding RNA, 524 nt
Organism: Cebus imitator (Panamanian white-faced capuchin)
Lineage: Eukaryota; Metazoa; Chordata; Mammalia; Primates; Cebidae
Exons: 4
Source: RefSeq, a predicted model, not a curated record